This 301-nucleotide ribosomal RNA is filed under the name uncultured bacterium. RNAcentral's name for it is "partial 16S ribosomal RNA". It matches the Rfam family "Bacterial small subunit ribosomal RNA", at positions 509 to 807 of the family's 1533-position model. The record is from RNAcentral.
CAGCCGCCACGGUAAUACGAAGGGGGCUAGCGUUGCUCGGAAUCGCUGGGCGUAAAGGGUGCGUAGGCGGGUCUUUAAGUCAGGGGUGAAAUCCUGGAGCUCAACUCCAGAACUGCCUUUGAUACUGAAGAUCUUGAGUUCGGGAGAGGUGAGUGGAACUGCGAGUGUAGAGGUGAAAUUCGUAGAUAUUCGCAAGAACACCAGUGGCGAAGGCGGCUCACUGGCCCGAUACUGACGCUGAGGCACGAAAGCGUGGGGAGCAAACAGGAUUAGAUACCCCGGUAGUCCCUGUCUCUUAUAC